RNAcentral lists this ribosomal RNA (460 nucleotides) under uncultured bacterium. RNAcentral's name for it is "partial 16S ribosomal RNA". It matches the Rfam family "Bacterial small subunit ribosomal RNA", at positions 338 to 795 of the family's 1533-position model. The record is from RNAcentral.
CCUACGGGAGGCAGCAGUGAGGAAUAUUGGUCAAUGGACGAGAGUCUGAACCAGCCAAGUAGCGUGAAGGAUGACUGCCCUAUGGGUUGUAAACUUCUUUUAUAUGGGAAUAAAAUGUUCCACGUGUGGGAUUUUGUAUGUACCAUAUGAAUAAGGAUCGGCUAACUCCGUGCCAGCAGCCGCGGUAAUACAGAGGAUCCGAGCGUUAUCCGGAUUUAUUGGGUUUAAAGGGAGCGUAGGUGGAUUGUUAAGUCAGUUGUGAAAGUUUGCGGCUCAACCGUAAAAUUGCAGUUGAAACUGGCAGUCUUGAGUACAGUAGAGGUGGGCGGAAGUCGUGGUGUAGCGGUGAAAUGCUUAGAUAUCACGAAGAACUCCGAUUGCGAAGGCAGUUCACUGGACUGCAACUGACACUGAGGCUCGAAAGUGUGGGUAUCAAACAGGAUUAGAUACCCCUGUAGUC